GAUGAAGAACGUAGCGAAAUGCGAUAAGUAAUGUGAAUUGCAGAAUUCAGUGAAUCAUCGAAUCUUUGAACGCACAUUGCGCCCGCCAGUAUUCUGGCGGGCAUGCCUGUCCGAGCGUCAUUUCAACCCUCGCGCCCAUCUGGGCUGCGGUGUUGGGGACCGGCCUGCCCCCCGGGGCGCGCCGCCCCCCAAAAUCAGUGGCGGUCUCGCUGCAGCCUCCCUUGCGUAGUAGCACACCUCGCACCGGAGCGCAGCGCGGCCACGCCGUAAAACCCCCGACCCCCAUGAGUUUGACCUCGGAUCAGGUAGGAAUGCCCGCUGAACUUAAGCAUAUCAAUAAGCGGAGGA
Molecule: unclassified non-coding RNA, 348 nt
Filed under: soil metagenome
Description: partial contains 5.8S ribosomal RNA, internal transcribed spacer 2, and large subunit ribosomal RNA
Rfam family: 5.8S ribosomal RNA (bases 1-120)
Source: RNAcentral